Molecule: ribosomal RNA, 1539 nt
Filed under: Candidatus Erwinia haradaeae
Lineage: Bacteria; Pseudomonadati; Pseudomonadota; Gammaproteobacteria; Enterobacterales; Erwiniaceae
Description: bacterial SSU rRNA
Rfam family: Bacterial small subunit ribosomal RNA
Source: RNAcentral
AUUGAAGAGUUUGAUCAUGGCUCAGAUUGAACGCUGGCGGCAGGCCUAACACAUGCAAGUCGAACGGUAGCGGAAAGAAGCUUGCUUCUUUGACGACGAGUGGCGAACGGGUGAGUAAUAUCUGGGAAACUGCCCGAUGGAGGGGAAUAACCACUGGAAACGGUGGCUAAUACCGCAUAAUGUCUUCUGACCAAAGUGGGGGAUCAUUUGACCUCACACCAUCGGAUGUGCCCAGAUGGGAUUAGCUUAUAGGUGAGGUAAUGGCUCACCUAGGCGACGAUCCCUAGCUGGUCUGAGAGGAUGACCAGCCACACUGGAACUGAGACACGGUCCAGACUCCUGCGGGAGGCAGCAGUGGGGAAUAUUGCACAAUGGGCGAAAGCCUGAUGCAGCCAUGCCGCGUGUAUGAAGAAGGCCCUCGGGUUGUAAAGUACUUUCAGCGGGAAAGAAAUAAAUGGAGCUAAUAACUUCAUCUAUUGACGUUACCCGCAAAAGAAGCACCGGCUAACUCCGUGCCAGCAGCCGCGGUAAUACGGAGGGUGCGAGCGUUAAUCGGAAUUACUGGGCGUAAAGGGCACGUAGGCGGACUAUCAAGUCGGAUGUGAAAUCCCUGGGCUUAACCUGGGAACUGCAUUCGAAACUGGUAGACUAGAGUUUCGUAGAGGGGGGUAGAAUUCUAGGUGUAGCGGUGAAAUGCGUAGAGAUCUGGAGGAAUACCGAUGGCGAAGGCGUCCCCCUGGACGAAAACUGACGCUCAGGUGCGAAAGCGUGGGGAGCAAACAGGAUUAGAUACCCUGGUAGUCCAUGCCGUAAACAAUGUCGACUUGGAGGUUGUUCCCGAGUGGAGUGGCUUCCGUAGCUAACGCGUUAAGUCGACCGCCUGGGGAGUACGGCCGCAAGGUUAAAACUCAAAUGAAUUGACGGGGGCCCGCACAAGCGGUGGAGCAUGUGGUUUAAUUCGAUGCAACGCGAAAAACCUUACCUAACCUUGACAUCCAUAGAAUUUUAUAGAAAUAUGAAAGUGCCUUCGGGAACUAUGAGACAGGUGCUGCAUGGCUGUCGUCAGCUCGUGUUGUGAAAUGUUGGGUUAAGUCCCGCAACGAGCGCAACCCUUAUCCUUUGUUGCCAUCGAUUCGGUCGGGAACUCAAAGGAGACUGCCGGUGAUAAACUGGAGGAAGGUGGGGAUGACGUCAAGUCAUCAUGGCCCUUAUGGUUAGGGCUACACACGUGCUACAAUGGUGUACACAAAGAGAAGCUACCUCGCGAGAGCAAGCGGACCUCAUAAAAUACAUCGUAGUCCGGAUCGGAGUCUGCAACUCGACUCCGUGAAGUCGGAAUCGCUAGUAAUCGUGGAUUAGAAUGCCACGGUGAAUACGUUCCCGGGCCUUGUACACACCGCCCGUCACACCAUGGGAGUGGAUUGCAAAAGAAGUAGGUAGCUUAACUUUCGGGAGGGCGCCUACCACUUUGUGGUUCAUGACUGGGGUGAAGUCGUAACAAGGUAACCGUAGGGGAACCUGCGGUUGGAUCACCUCCUU